UAGCUUUCAUGUUGAAAAUAUCACCCUCAAAUAGGAAAGCAUUGUUCGGUUGCAAUCGAGUAACUGACCGAAAUGGACUACAACAGCAACCAUCAACUCGAUUAUACGAUGGCGGUUGCUGGCAUUGGUUGUGACCGAUGGGAUCGGUACCACUGUGAUUCGGUCGUCGGGGCACUCUCCCCCCAAUAGAAUCGAUCGAAAAACCAAGGGGAGGGGAAAAUUCUAUUAAUAGGCUUCAUUAAACCUCACCCCUGUUCUGUCUUCCCUUGCCGACCUUCCCUCUUUCUUCAUUUGUCUCCCCUUUCUUCUUCCUACUUCUUUCCUCUGCUUGGUGCUCUUUGUCGUCUCCUCCUGCCGGCAUCUAUCCUCCUCCUUGCUGCCGGUCACCUCUGUUUCAAGGAGGAAUUCCUUGGUAAUGAAGAAUCCCAAUCGUUGUUGUAUCUGUAAGUCGUGACCUGACCACAAUCACACAGGGCCCAUGGGCCAGGUCCAGCAGUCCAGGUUCGAGAGACUUGCAUUCGCAUGAUACUGGGCUUCGGACAACAGUCUAUGGGAGACGACAGAAUCAAAUCAAAUCAAAGCAAAGAAUCAUUGGAAACGGGCAAAGCACAAAGCAAAACCGUCUAUGGGAAAUCAACUGGUUUGAAACAUUUCUUUAAUUUGAAUCUAUCAAAUUUGAACAGGAGCAAGCUCCGGUGCCACCUAAGCUUCAGCUUUCAGGUUGCUGCUGCAAUUGAAACGGCUGCUGUUGGCAAUUGUGUGAGUAGAGCCCAUCUUUACCAGGCCAACAACUGAGCUGAAGCAGGAUAGGAACCACUUUUUUGUUGCAGAUACCUAUUGUUUGAAACCCUCGUAGCACAUAUCUGAUUAAAAUUGGUAUUUUACAUUCGGAAAGUAUUCAAAAACAAAGUUUAUGACAAGAAUUAAAUCAUCACAGUGUACGGUUUUCUUCCAUUAUUGCAGACACAUGAUGAAAAACUGUUCAUGAUUAUAUCAGUGAGCCGUGAAGCUUCUGUCACGUAGUUUGUCUUAUGAGAUGUAUAACUAUUAAUGGUGAUGGAUCGGUUGUUAUUUUGUUUGU
Molecule: small RNA, 1081 nt
Filed under: Theobroma cacao (cacao)
Lineage: Eukaryota; Viridiplantae; Streptophyta; Magnoliopsida; Malvales; Malvaceae
Description: sRNA Tc09v2_g005460
Source: RNAcentral